Molecule: unclassified non-coding RNA, 247 nt
Filed under: Hevea brasiliensis (rubber tree)
Lineage: Eukaryota; Viridiplantae; Streptophyta; Magnoliopsida; Malpighiales; Euphorbiaceae
Source: RNAcentral
GCUCUUUUGAAAGGGAAAGAAAGCAGCAAAAGUUGGUAAAACCUCAAUCAACGGCUGCCCAUCCUUAUGGUAGACGAAUUUGAGCUCCUUCUCGUCCACAGCAUCCCGCCCGCAAGCUCCGAUCCCGAGAGCAUAAAUCGCCACAUCUCUUUCAUCGUAGGAGAAAGUGGUCUCAGGGAAUUUGUGGGAGAUGACGAGGUCUGGAUCGAUGGUGGAGAUCGCCAUGGCUCCUGAUGGUGCCGCUGCU